Podarcis raffonei (Aeolian wall lizard) is the source of this 1871-nucleotide long non-coding RNA. RefSeq lists it as uncharacterized. Lineage: Eukaryota; Metazoa; Chordata; Lepidosauria; Squamata; Lacertidae. The record is from RefSeq and is a predicted model, not a curated record. The transcript has 2 exons.
CAUCACCAAACUUGCCAAGGGGCCAGACAUGCAAAGGAAGUUCUAUUGUACUUUGGGUGAUGGGACUUCAGAGGUGUUGGCCUAUGCUAAUCUUAUACCGGAGUCUUGCCCUGACAUGUCUGCUUAUGCUAAUCUUGUACCAAGGACUUGUGUGGACAUGUUUGCCAAGGUUAAACUAGUGUAACCCCUGUCUACACCUCCCCUUUUGUGACAUGUCAGUGAUGUAACAAUGAUAUAGCAAUGAUGCUCUACAAACAGUAUUCUGGGAUAUCGUGGGGAAGUUUUAAAAGUCUUUGUCACCCCAUGCUCGGGGUUCAAAAUUCCUCUUUCAGCCUGUUGCGCAAUAAACUUUGGUCUACAGCUAUUUGCUCCAGUUGAUGGCUGGACUCCUUCCUUUAUUCCGCAAGGGACCCACAGGCUCCGCCCGACGAGCUGGGUGGCUGAGCAGCCUCACACCUAGAUUUUUCUGUAACACACAGGAGACAGAUGAGGUGAUCAGGCACUCCCAUUUCUUUAAGAACUUGCCAUAGUUUGCUGUGGUCGACACAGUCAAGUGCAUUUGCGUAGUCAAUGAAGCAGAAGUAGAUGUCUUUCUGGAACUCUCUAGCUUUCUCCAUAAUCCAGCAUGUUUGCAAUUUGGUCUCUGGUUCCUCUGCCCCUUCGAAAUCCAGCUUGCACUUCUGGGAGUUCUCAGUCCACAUACUGCUUAAGCCUGCCUUGUAGAAUUUUAAGCAUAACCUUGCUAGCGUGUGAAAUGAGCGCAAUUGUGCGGAAGUUGGAACAUUCUUUGGCACUGCCCUUCUUUGGGAUUGGGAUGCAGACUGACUUUCUCCAAUCCUCUGGCCACUGCUGAGUUUUACAAAGUUGCUGGCAUAUUGAGUGUAGCACAUUAACAGCAUCAUAUUUUAAAAUUUUGGUUUUCAAGGAAGAAGCAGCCCUGGAAAAUAAGGCAGGAAUUAACCUUGAAUCUUGCUAACAAAAUCCUUUCAUAGCUUUUUGUGAGAGUGUGACUGCUAAUCUUAAAGCCAGGAUGAGCACUAAGAAUUGGGCAUCAUUUCCUCUGUUAUAAAAAAUAAAAUAAAAUACUUGUUCCACUUCUAAAGAAACCCUUUAGAAUGCAUUCUUAUUUUUUUAUUAAAAAAAUCAAACAGCUGUGCAAAGGUGCUCCUGUGCAAUGCAAUGUCAGAAUAACAAAAUAAUGAAACAUCUCAUAAGAGCCUUGUUUUUUAAAUAUACAGCUAAAAAACCUUAAAACUCCUACAACACUUACCAAAUACAAAUCUAAAAGCAGGGACUAGGAGGCAACCUGAUAUUCAAGGCUUCACCCCACCCCAAACUCUGAGCUUUUGGUUUCUCUUUAGACACUCAUCUGUGGUCGCCUGGAGCAUUUGAGGGGAAAGAGAGAGAACAUUCUGGCAUACGAAGCAAACAUAGAAAAAGAAAGUGACAACCUGUUUAUAAUUCAGUGGGGCCUCUUCUCAGUUCAUUCUCUUCUGGAUCAGUGCCUUAAUCCUUUGAAGAUUUUGUAUAUCACAGAAUAGUCAUUGAGAUGUCCCCAGAUGUUGUUGUCCAGUUCGCCUCCGCUUCAGCCAGCAGGGCAGACAGUCAAGGAUGAUAGAAACUCUAAUCUGGACCUCACCACCUGGACUCUGCUGCCCUAUAUCCUUCCUAUUGAAACAAAUGUGAAAAUAAAUUUUGGACUCUAUAGAUUUAUCCUGGUCUGGUGCAUGCAAUGUCUUUUGUUUUGCAGCUGUGUGAUUUGUGCUCAUAUUGUAUUGUGGUGGCCAUUGGCUAUAAACAAUAAAAUUUAUAGAUACAGUAGAUUGAACUGCAAAAAUAAGUAAUAAAAUAAUAAAAUGAUUUUUAUAUUU